GACGAACGCUGGCGGCGUGCUUAACACAUGCAAGUCGAACGGAAAGGCCCUGCUUUUGUGGGGUGCUCGAGUGGCGAACGGGUUAGUAACACGUGAGUAACCUGCCCUUGACUUUGGGAUAACUUCAGGAAACUGGGGCUAAUACCGGAUAGGAGCUCCUGCUGCAUGGUGGGGGUUGGAAAGUUUCGGCGGUUGGGGAUGGACUCGCGGCUUAUCAGCUUGUUGGUGGGGUAGUGGCUUACCAAGGCUUUGACGGGUAGCCGGCCUGAGAGGGUGACCGGCCACAUUGGGACUGAGAUACGGCCCAGACUCCUACGGGAGGCAGCAGUGGGGAAUAUUGCACAAUGGGCGGAAGCCUGAUGCAGCAACGCCGCGUGCGGGAUGACGGCCUUCGGGUUGUAAACCGCUUUCGCCUGUGACGAAGCGUGAGUGACGGUAAUGGGUAAAGAAGCACCGGCUAACUACGUG
Molecule: ribosomal RNA, 468 nt
Filed under: uncultured bacterium
Lineage: Bacteria
Description: partial 16S ribosomal RNA
Rfam family: Bacterial small subunit ribosomal RNA
Source: RNAcentral